UACAGAGGUCUCGAGCGUUGUUCGGAUUCAUUGGGCGUAAAGGGUGCGUAGGUGGCGCUGUAAGUCGGGUGUGAAAUCCUGAGGCUUAACCUCGGAACUGCAUUCGAUACUGCGGCGCUUGAGGACUGGAGAGGAGACUGGAAUUCAUGGUGUAGCAGUGAAAUGCGUGGAGAUCAUGAGGAAGACCAGUGGCGAAGGCGGGUCUCUGGACAGUUCCUGACACUGAGGCACGAAGGCCAGGGGAGCAAACGGG
Molecule: ribosomal RNA, 253 nt
Filed under: uncultured bacterium
Lineage: Bacteria
Description: partial 16S ribosomal RNA
Rfam family: Bacterial small subunit ribosomal RNA
Source: RNAcentral